RNAcentral lists this unclassified non-coding RNA (467 nucleotides) under Hevea brasiliensis (rubber tree). The record is from RNAcentral. Lineage: Eukaryota; Viridiplantae; Streptophyta; Magnoliopsida; Malpighiales; Euphorbiaceae.
UGCAACACCACCACCAGAUAAACCACUAUCAAAUAUUUAAUUAUUAAUUAAAUUCCUAAUCCUUCUAAACAAUCAUUACAAAUAUAGUGCAGCCAAAACUCAUUAAUACACACUCAGAAUAAUAGAUCUGAUACAAAAAAAAAAUCUAGAGCUCUGCAUUUGAAUUUUGUGGUUACUCGGUUUUUUAUUUAAUAAAAAAAAAAUUGAAUGUGCAUUAUACAACCAUUAUUCAUUAUUAGCUUAGCUCCAAUUAAAAGAUUUCCUCAAUUAAAAAAAAAAAUAUUUCUGCCGAAGAAUAAAAUUGAGCAGAGAGAGCGGAAAAAGGAUAAAAAGACGAGACCAUUCCAUAGAUCAGAACUUACAAAAUCUCUCCAUUUUAAAUAAACCUAUGAAUCAGAGGAACCUUUUGCUGAAAGCAAACAUAACACGAAGCCACAUUUCAUAUAUAUGUAGAGAGAGAGAGAGAG